UACGUAGGGUGCAAGCGUUGUCCGGAAUUAUUGGGCGUAAAGAGCUCGUAGGCGGUUUGCCGCGUCUGCUGUGAAAACCCGAGGCUCAACCUCGGGCCUGCAGUGGGUACGGGCAGACUAGAGUGCGGUAGGGGAGAUUGGAAUUCCUGGUGUAGCGGUGGAAUGCGCAGAUAUCAGGAGGAACACCAAUGGCGAAGGCAGAUCUCUGGGCCGUAACUGACGCUGAGGAGCGAAAGCAUGGGGAGCGAACAGG
Molecule: ribosomal RNA, 253 nt
Filed under: uncultured bacterium
Lineage: Bacteria
Description: partial 16S ribosomal RNA
Rfam family: Bacterial small subunit ribosomal RNA
Source: RNAcentral